UCGAAGUAGUUGGCACGAGUCGGGGGACACCGUAGGCGGCGGGCGAUGGCCGGAAUGAUGGGGCGUAAAGGGCUCGUAGGCGGCCGGUCGCGUCUGCUGUGACAUCCCGGGGCUUAACCCCGGGCGGGUAGUGGAUACGGGGUGGCUGGAGGCAGGCAUGGGAGAAUGGAAUUCCCGGUGUAGCGGUGAAAUGCGCAGAUAUCGGGAGGAACACCGGUGGCGAAGGCGGUUCUCUGGGCCUGUGCUGACGCUGAGGAGCGAAAGCGUGGGGAGCGAACAGGAUUAGAUACCCGGGUAGUC
RNAcentral lists this ribosomal RNA (300 nucleotides) under uncultured Ignicoccus sp. RNAcentral describes it as "bacterial SSU rRNA". The stretch from base 52 to 300 matches the Rfam family "Bacterial small subunit ribosomal RNA", at positions 547 to 795 of the family's 1533-position model. Lineage: Archaea; Thermoproteati; Thermoproteota; Thermoprotei; Desulfurococcales; Desulfurococcaceae. The record is from RNAcentral.